This 486-nucleotide ribosomal RNA is filed under the name uncultured Glomus. RNAcentral's name for it is "SSU rRNA". It matches the Rfam family "Eukaryotic small subunit ribosomal RNA", at positions 569 to 1061 of the family's 1831-position model. The record is from RNAcentral. Lineage: Eukaryota; Fungi; Glomeromycota; Glomeromycetes; Glomerales; Glomeraceae.
AGCAGCCGCGGUAAUUCCAGCUCCAAUAGCGUAUAUUAAAGUUGUUGCAGUUAAAAAGCUCGUAGUUGAAUUUCGGGAUCAAUAUAUUGGUCAUGCUUAGGUAUGUACUGGUAUUAUUGAUUUCUCCCUUCUGAAGAACCAUGAUGUCAUUAAUUUGAUGUCGUGGGGAAUCAGGACUGUUACUUUGAAAAAUUAGAGUGUUUAAAGCAGGCUUUCGCUUGAAUACAUUAGCAUGGAAUAAUGAAAUAGGACGUUUGAUUCUAUUUUGUUGGUUUCUAGGAUCGACGUAAUGAUUAAUAGGGAUAGUUGGGGGCAUUAGUAUUCAAUUGUCAGAGGUGAAAUUCUUGGAUUUAUUGAAGACUAACUACUGCGAAAGCAUUUGCCAAGGAUGUUUUCAUUAAUCAAGAACGAAAGUUAGGGGAUCGAAGACGAUCAGAUACCGUCGUAGUCUUAACCAUAAACUAUGCCGACUAGGGAUCGGAUGAU